GGCGCUUCUCGGGUGACGCACCCUGAAAUCGGGCUCUCUCCUCUCUGGUUCCAAGUGUGUCACCCGAGAACCACA
Non-coding RNA from Myotis brandtii (Brandt's bat), 75 nucleotides. The record is from Rfam. NCBI's taxonomy places the organism in Eukaryota, Metazoa, Chordata, Mammalia, Chiroptera, Vespertilionidae.